GAUGAAGGAACGCAGCGAAAUGCGAUACGUAAUGUGAAUUGCAAAUUCAGUGAAUCAUCGAGUCUUUGAACGCACAUUGCGCCCCCUGGUAUUCCGGGGGGCAUGCCUGUCCGAGCGUCAUUGCUGCCCUCAAGCACGGCUUGUGUGUUGGGCCCCGUCCUCCGAUCCCGGGGGACGGGCCCGAAAGGCAGCGGCGGCACCGCGUCCGGUCCUCGAGCGUAUGGGGCUUUGUCACCCGCUCUGUAGGCCCGGCCGGCGCUUGCCGAUCAACCCAAAUUUUUUAUCCAGGUUGACCUCGGAUCAGGUAGGGAUACCCGCUGAACUUAAGCAUAUCAAUAAGCGGAGGA
RNAcentral lists this unclassified non-coding RNA (347 nucleotides) under soil metagenome. RNAcentral describes it as "partial contains 5.8S ribosomal RNA, internal transcribed spacer 2, and large subunit ribosomal RNA". The stretch from base 1 to 120 matches the Rfam family "5.8S ribosomal RNA", at positions 35 to 154 of the family's 154-position model. The record is from RNAcentral.